This 504-nucleotide ribosomal RNA is filed under the name Ara macao (Scarlet macaw). RNAcentral's name for it is "partial 16S large subunit ribosomal RNA". The record is from RNAcentral. Lineage: Eukaryota; Metazoa; Chordata; Aves; Psittaciformes; Psittacidae.
CCUGCAAAACGAAUCUAAGUUCCCCCUUAACCCUCUUUUUCCUCCCCAGACAAACCCAACCCAAAUGUGAUAGUUAAGGGCUAUUUAAAGGGGGUACAGCCCCUUUAAAAAAGGACACAACCUCCACCAGCGGAUAACCCCUGUACGCCCAACCCCGUGGGCCUUAAAGCAGCCACCCCCAAAGAUUGCGUCAAAGCUCCAUCAACCAAAAACCCCCAAAACCAAUGCGACUCCCUACACCCACAGCAGGCCAACCUAUAACAAUAGAUGAGUCAAUGCUAGAACGAGUAACCAGGACACUACGUCCCCCUAAGCGCCAGCCUGUAUACCAUUAACAGUAAAACCUCAAUAAUAACCACCCCCACCAUUGAACCCACCCUGUCAACCCAACUCAGGGGCGCACACUGGAGUGAUCAAAAUCUACAAAAGGAACUCGGCAAACCUAAGACCCGACUGUUUACCAAAAACAUAGCCUUCAGCCAAACAAGUAUUGAAGGUGAUGCC